CGGCGGACGGGUGAGUAACGCGUGAGCAACCUGCCUUUCACAGGGGGAUAACGCACCGAAAGGUGCACUAAUACCGCAUGAGACCACAGUGCUGACAUGGUACAGGGGUCAAAGGAGCAAUCCGGUGAAAGAUGGGCUCGCGUCUGAUUAGCUUGUUGGCGGGGUAACGGCCCACCAAGGCGACGAUCAGUAGCCGACCUGAGAGGGUGAUCGGCCACAUUGGAACUGAGACACGGUCCAAACUCCUACGGGAGGCAGCAGUGAGGAAUAUUGGUCAAUGGACGAGAGUCUGAACCAGCCAAGUAGCGUGCAGGAAGACGGCCCUAUGGGUUGUAAACUGCUUUUAUAGGGGGAUAAAGUGUGCCACGUGUGGCAUAUUGCAGGUACCCUAUGAAUAAGGACCGGCUAAUUCCGUGCCAGCAGCCGCGGUUAUACGGAAGGUCCGGGCGUUAUCCGGAUUUAUUUGGGUUUAAAGGGAGCGUAGGCCGUCUUAUAAGCGUGUUGUGAAAUGUCGGGGGCUCAAUCUGUGCAUUGCAGCGCGAACUGUGAGACUUGAGUGCGCAGGAAGUAGGGCGGAAUUCGUCGUGUAGCGGUGAAAUGCUUAGAUAUGACGAAGAACUCCGAUUGCGAAGGCAGCCUGCUGUAGCGCAACUGACGCUGAAGCUCGAAAGCGUGGGGUAUCGAACAGGAUUAGAUACCCUGGUAGUCCACGCGGUAAACGAUGGAUGCUCGCUGUUUGCGUCUGACGUAAGCGGCCAAGCGAAAGCGUUAAGCAUCCCACCUGGGGAGUACGCCGGCAACGGUGAAACUCAAAGGAAUUGACGGGGGCCCGCACAAGCGGAGGAACAUGUGGUUUAAUUCGAUGAUACGCGAGGAACCUUACCCGGGCUUGAACUGCAGCGGACGGAUACAGAGAUGUUGACUCCCUUCGGGGCCGCUGUGGAGGUGCUGCAUGGUUGUCGUCAGCUCGUGCCGUGAGGUGUCGGCUUAAGUGCCAUAACGAGCGCAACCCUUGUUCGUAGUUGCCAUCGGGUGAAGCCGGGCACUCUGCGAAGACUGCCUCCGUAAGGAGUGAGGAAGGUGGGGAUGACGUCAAAUCAGCACGGCCCUUACGUCCGGGGCUACACACGUGUUACAAUGGCAUGUAUAGAAAGCAGGGUGUAUGCAAAUACGCUCGAAUCCCUAAAACAUGUCUCAGUUCGGACUGGGGUCUGCAACCCGACCCCACGAAGCUGGAUUCGCUAGUAAUCGCGCAUCAGCCAUGGCGCGGUGAAUACGUUCCCGGGCCUUGCACACACCGCCCGUCAAG
Molecule: ribosomal RNA, 1309 nt
Filed under: uncultured bacterium
Lineage: Bacteria
Description: bacterial SSU rRNA
Rfam family: Bacterial small subunit ribosomal RNA
Source: RNAcentral